Molecule: ribosomal RNA, 1423 nt
Filed under: metagenome
Description: bacterial LSU rRNA
Rfam family: Bacterial large subunit ribosomal RNA
Source: RNAcentral
GAAAGCGGAAGCCGGGGAUGGAUUGUCCCGGUGCAAGCGGGGUACCAGUCACUUUGGCAAAUCCGGGUGGCAAUGGGAAGCCGUGAUGCGGAGUGAAAUAAAGUAACGAAGUCCGUGAGCCAUGCGUCAAGAAAAGCCGCUAUUGUUUAUACCGUACCCGUACCGUAAACCGACACAGGUGGAUGAGGAGAGAAUCCUAAGGCCGGCGGAAGAAGCAUUGUCAAGGAACUCGACAAAAUGGCCCCGUAACUUAGGGAUAAGGGGUGCCUGGGAAACCAGGCCGCAGAGAAUAGGCUCAAGCAACUGUUUAGCAAAAACACAGGUCUAUGCGAAACCGAAAGGUGAGGUAUAUGGGCUGACGCCUGCCCGGUGCUGGAAGGUUAAGAGGAGAGGUUAGCGCAAGCGAAGCUUUGAAUUUAAGCCCCAGUAAACGGCGGCCGUAACUAUAACGGUCCUAAGGUAGCGAAAUUCCUUGUCGGGUAAGUUCCGACCCGCACGAAAGGCGUAAUGAUUUGAGCGCUGUCUCGACAAUGCAUCCGGUGAAAUUGAAGUACCAGUGAAGAUGCUGGUUACCUGCGCCAGGACGGAAAGACCCCAUGGAGCUUUACUCCAGUUUGGUACUGGGACUCGGUAUUGCAUGUACAGGAUAGGUGGGAGGCUAGGAGACAGUAACGCCAGUUAUUGUGGAGCCGCUGUUGGGAUACCACCCUUGCAGUAUUGGGUUUCUAACCAGCCGCCGUGACCCGGCGGUGGGACAAUGCCAGACGGGGAGUUUGACUGGGGCGGUCGCCUCCGAAAGGGUAUCGGAGGCGCCCAAAGGUUCCCUCAGAAUGGACGGAAACCAUUCGAAGAGUGCAAAGGCAGAAGGGAGCUUGACUGCGACACCGACGGGUGGAGCAGGUACGAAAGUAGGGCUUAGUGAUCCGGUGGUAUUAAGUGGGAAUGCCAUCGCUCAACGGAUAAAAGCUACCCUGGAUAACAGGCUUAUCACUCCCAAGAGUUCACAUCGACGGAGUGGUUUGGCACCUCGAUGUCGGCUCAUCGCAUCCUGGGGCUGUAGUAGGUCCCAAGGGUUGGGCUGUUCGCCCAUUAAAGCGGUGCGCGAGCUGGGUUCAGAACGUCGUGAGACAGUUCGGUCCCUAUCCGGCGUGGGCGUAGGAUAUCUGAGAGGAGCUGUCCUUAGUACGAGAGGACCGGGAUGGACGGGCCGCUGGUGCAUCGGUUAGACUGCCAAGUCUACGGCCGAGUAGCCAAGACCGGAAGGGAUAAACGCUGAAGGCAUCUAAGCGUGAAGCCCCCCUUAAGAUGAGAUAUCCCAUUCGAAAGAAGUAAACCCCCUUGAAGACGACGAGGUAGAUAGGGCAGAGGUGGAAGUGUGGCAACACAUGGAGCUGACUGUUACUAAUCGGGUGAGGGCUUGACC